RNAcentral lists this long non-coding RNA (856 nucleotides) under Olea europaea subsp. europaea. Lineage: Eukaryota; Viridiplantae; Streptophyta; Magnoliopsida; Lamiales; Oleaceae. The record is from RNAcentral.
CUCGAACGUUCAAGGGUCUCUGUGACCAAUUUGCUGCCAUAGACCGUCCUAUUGACGACAUGGAUAAAGUUCAUUGAUUUUUGCCAGAUCUUGGUCUCGACUACAAAAUCUUCCCUACCACUAUGCUCUCACAGUUUUCGUUACCUUCUUUUACAGAAUUAGUGUCGAAAGCCUUGAGCUAUGAGAUCUUUGAAAGGUCGAUUUCUCACCAAUCCUCGAACUCUACCUUUUAUGUGCAGAACUCUUCCAAAUCGAAUGCCCAUAGGAAGAGCAAGCCUAAGUCUUCCCCUUCUACUACUUCGAAGUCUUCUUCAUCUCCAAUUUUUGUCAACUAUGCCAUAUGUAAGGACAUUUGGCCAAACAUUGCUAGACCUUUUUGAAUUUGAAAAAGAAGCAAUCAACCAAUCUUGCUAAAGCUUUUGCUGCCUGUUCAAUUUAGGACUCCAAUGACUCUGAAUAGUUUGCUGAUUACGACGCCACUCGUGCCUACUGCUUACUCUGGUAAUGGCCGGGUUAUGAUUGGCAAUGGUCAGUCGUUAUUGAUCACACAUAUUGGUUCUAUUAAAUCGUUUAUCCCUAAUAGUCAUCUUAUUUUGUCCAAUGUCUUGGUCGUUCCUGGUAUUAAGAAAAAUCUUCUUUCUAUGAGUUAACUCACCAAAGAUAAUAAUUGUUGUGUUAACUUUUCCUCUUCUGGUUUUACCAUACAGGAUCGGGUCACCAAGGUAACAUUGGGAGUUGGAAGAUGUGAACAUGGCCUAUAUGUGUUGGAUCAAGCUCUUCAUGCUUUCUUAUCAGUCGUUGCUUCUAGUAAACCACGAGCUUCGAUUCAGCUAUGGCAUGCUCGUCUUGGUCACCC